ACAGUAGAAAAAUAACUUCCUAAAGUUCAUACGGUUUCCUUUUGUGAGGAAGCAAAUAUUUUUGGUGCAGUAAUUCAAGGAAAUAUGGAAAAUUGCAAGGAAAUGGUAAUUACUAUAUUCUUUUUUUGUUAUACACAGAAUAAACUCGAAACUGGUGUCGACUAAAAGCUUGAACACUAAUUCUUUCUCACUCCAUCAGCAAUUCAAUAGACUUUUUGGUUUUGCAAAAACAUAAUUUUACCUCACGAAGAUAAUUUAGGAAAAAAAAAGAAAAAGUACAUCAAACCAAAUUUAAGACAUCCUUCCAUUAUUUUCCUUCCUUCUGGCAAAGGUGAAUGACAAGUUCUUUGCGAGUGAAUUCAAGGCAAUAUGGUGUGGGAUUUAGUUGGAUCACAAGCUUUGUCUUGGCGCUUAAAGCCUCACACUUUGAUUUCAAUUGGGUGUCAGACAGAUUAUUAAAAGAGAGUAACAUAAAAAACAAUAAAGCUUGUAAAGGCACAAGUACUGCUUGAUCUAUAUUUCACAAUAAUUCACUAGCAAAGCAUGAGUGCAGUUAUAAUUAUUACUGCUCUAUCUAUCAUCAAUGGAGCUUAUUCAUAUGAAUUGCUAUGACUCUUGCUUCCUACUCACUUUUCUUCACAUCCAUGUACUCAAACGCGCGAACUUCUUGUGCUCUAACGCGAUAAAGUCCUCAGCUUCUUGGUUGACAUCUUCCUUAACUUCAUAAUUUUCACUAGUCUUCACAUGCUGAGGAUUAUAAUACUCGGAUUCUAUAAUUUGGGCCUUUGGAAUCUCAAGAGUACGCUUAUCCUCAUAAACAUUGUUGUAUCCAUAAUCGACAUUUGAAUGCCGUGGUUUGUGGUUCGAUGAAUACGGCAUUGGCUCCGUUGUUGUAGCAGAAACCUGGUAGGCAUACGAGGUAUCCCCCCACCUGACCCUAGGGUGCUUGGCAUGGUGUUUUGGGCUAUUGUAUGACAUCCUAUACUCACUUCUGUUUAGGGUUUUUGGUUAGAAAAUUAUUUUCAAACUUUGUCAAACUUGUGUUGUGAGGUUGUAUUAUAUAAUGAAAUGUGACGUUGUUG
Molecule: long non-coding RNA, 1082 nt
Filed under: Gossypium raimondii (Peruvian cotton)
Lineage: Eukaryota; Viridiplantae; Streptophyta; Magnoliopsida; Malvales; Malvaceae
Description: long non-coding RNA (GRAI_LNC004070)
Source: RNAcentral